GGGGACUACCGGGGUUUCUAAUCCCGUUUGCUACCUUGGCUUUCGUGCCUCAGCGUCAGAAAAGACCCAGUAAGCCGCCUUCGCCACCGGUGUUCCUCAAGAUAUCAACGCAUUUCACCGCUCCACCUUGAGUUCCGCUUACCUCUGUCUCCCUCUAGCACGGUAGUUUUGAGUGCAAUUCCUCAGUUGAGCUGAGGGCUUUCACCACACGCUUAGCAGGCCGCCUACGCGCCCUUUACGCCCAGUGAUUCCGGACAACGCUCGCACCCUCCGUAUUACCGCGGCGGCUGGCAC
This 294-nucleotide unclassified non-coding RNA is filed under the name uncultured fungus. RNAcentral describes it as "sequence contains ITS1". Lineage: Eukaryota; Fungi. The record is from RNAcentral.